CCUACGGGAGGCUGCAGUGGGGGAUAUUGCACAAUGCGGGAAACCCUGAUGCAGCAACGCCGCGUGUGGGAAGAAGGUUUUCGGAUUGUAAACCACUGUUCUUGGUGAAGAUAAUGACGGUAACCAAGGAGAAAGCUCCGGCUAACUACGCGCCAGCAGCCGCGGUAAUACGUAUGGAGAAAGCGUUGUCCGGAUUUACGGGGUGGAAAGGGUGCGUAGGCGGUCGUGCAAGUCAGACGUGAAAACCACAGGCUCAACCUGUGGACUGCGUGUGAAACUGUGGGGCUUGAGUGAAGUAGAGGUAGGCGGAAUUCCCGGUGUAGGGGGGAAAUGCGUAGAGAUCGGGAGGAACACCAGUGGGGAAGGCGGCCUACUGGGCUUUAACUGACGCUGAGGCACGAAAGCAUGGGUAGCAAACAGGAUUAGAUAACCGAGUAGUC
This 440-nucleotide ribosomal RNA is filed under the name uncultured bacterium. RNAcentral describes it as "partial 16S ribosomal RNA". It matches the Rfam family "Bacterial small subunit ribosomal RNA", at positions 338 to 795 of the family's 1533-position model. The record is from RNAcentral.